Molecule: ribosomal RNA, 253 nt
Filed under: uncultured bacterium
Lineage: Bacteria
Description: partial 16S ribosomal RNA
Rfam family: Bacterial small subunit ribosomal RNA
Source: RNAcentral
UACGGAGGGUGCAAACGUUGCUCGGAAUUAUUGGGCGUAAAGCGCACGUAGGCGGUUCGGUAAGUCGGAUGUGAAAUCCCUCGGCUCAACCGAGGAAGGGCAUCCGAAACUGCCGGGCUUGAGUACGGAAGAGGGUCUCGGAAUUCCCGGUGUAGAGGUGAAAUUCGUAGAUAUCGGGAGGAACACCAGUGGCGAAGGCGGAGACCUGGGCCGAUGCUGACGCUGAGGUGCGAAAGCGUGGGGAGCAAACAGG